ACAGGGAUUGCCCUAGUAACGGCGAGUGAAGCGGCAACAGCUCAAAUUUGAAAUCUGGCUCUUUUAGAGUCCGAGUUGUAAUUUGCAGAGGGCGCUUUGGCUUUGGCAGCGGUCCAAGUUCCUUGGAACAGGACGUCACAGAGGGUGAGAAUCCCGUACGUGGUCGCUGGCUAUUGCCGUGUAAAGCCCCUUCGACGAGUCGAGUUGUUUGGGAAUGCAGCUCUAAAUGGGAGGUACAUUUCUUCUAAAGCUAAAUAUUGGCCAGAGACCGAUAGCGCACAAGUAGAGUGAUCGAAAGAUGAAAAGCACUUUGGAAAGAGAGUCAAACAGCACGUGAAAUUGUUGAAAGGGAAGCGCUUGCAGCCAGACUUGCUUGCAGUUGCUCAUCCGGGCUUUUGCCCGGUGCACUCUUCUGUAGGCAGGCCAGCAUCAGUUCGGGCGGUAGGAUAAAGGUCUCUGUCACGUACCUCCUUUCGGGGAGGCCUUAUAGGGGAGACGACAUACUACCAGCCUGGACUGAGGUCCGCGCAUCUGCUAGGAUGCUGGCGUAAUGGCUGUAAGCGGCCCGUCUUGAAACACGGACCAAGGAGUCUAACAUCUAUGCGAGUGUUUGGGUGUCAAGCCCGAGCGCGUAAUGAAAGUGAACGGAGGUGGGAACCCGCAAGGGUGCACCAUCGACCGAUCCUGAUGUCUUCGGAAGGAUUUGAGUAAGAGCAUGGCUGUUGGGACCCGAAAGAUGGUGAACUAUGCUUGAAUAGGGUGAAGCCAGAGGAAACUCUGGUGGAGGCUCGCAGCGGUUCUGACGUGCAAAUCGAUCGUCAAAUUUGGGCAUAGGGGCGAAAGACUAAU
This 849-nucleotide ribosomal RNA is filed under the name Alternaria planifunda. RNAcentral's name for it is "eukaryotic LSU rRNA". It matches the Rfam family "Eukaryotic large subunit ribosomal RNA", at positions 68 to 935 of the family's 3401-position model. RNAcentral also lists the same sequence under 1 other name. The record is from RNAcentral. Lineage: Eukaryota; Fungi; Ascomycota; Dothideomycetes; Pleosporales; Pleosporaceae.